Osmerus eperlanus (European smelt) is the source of this 651-nucleotide long non-coding RNA. RefSeq lists it as uncharacterized. The record is from RefSeq and is a predicted model, not a curated record. The transcript has 2 exons. Lineage: Eukaryota; Metazoa; Chordata; Actinopteri; Osmeriformes; Osmeridae.
GUUAAAAAAAAACGUUGCGUACACUACGCAAAAGUUGGGAUUCUGUUGGGUUUAGUCUGCUCGUACCGUAGCAGACGGGUUGGAAGAUGUCUGUGCAAGUGUUUGUAAUGAAAAAGUCUCAUAAUCUCAUAAGAAACCUACGUGGACCACCCAACAAAAGAGGUGGCCCAGAGUCCUUGGAUCAUGACUACCUGGCCUGACAACACCAAGCUGACCUUGUCCAAAGCCGCUGUCCACAGCCCACAUGGUGGACCUUGUCUACCUGGUUGAACAGCUCGUCUGGAUUCAGUCUGAAGAAAGGACACAGUUCACCUAUGUUUAUUGAGCUGCUGGUCUUCUGAACAUGCACACAUAUGAAUGUGACUUUAAAGGUAAUCCAAUCUGAUCUCACCAGCAAAAGCAGAAGACAACACCUCAUACUCCGACUACUAUUUGAUUGAUAUUUGAUAUGUCAGCAACGUUAGAUCAGAGGAAUGUUCCCAUAUUGUGUACAAACUUUUACCUUUACAUCUCAUGUGCUAGGGAUAAGUAGUUAUUAGAGGGGGCAGGUAUCAAUGUAAUGUUUUAUGUGAAGCUAUUAAAUAAAUCCAAAGUCACAUUUAUAUUGUACGAAUUAUAAUCACUUUCUUUUAAUAAAGUUUGUUUGCAAUA